Molecule: ribosomal RNA, 640 nt
Filed under: Dascillus cervinus (orchid beetle)
Lineage: Eukaryota; Metazoa; Arthropoda; Insecta; Coleoptera; Dascillidae
Description: eukaryotic LSU rRNA
Rfam family: Eukaryotic large subunit ribosomal RNA
Source: RNAcentral
GGAGUCUAGCAUGUGCGCGAGUCUUCGGUUCUCAACGAAGACCGCAGGCGAAAUGAAAGUGAAGGCCCGUCUAGCGCGGGCUGAGGGAGGAUGGGUGGCGUUCAGGCGCCGCCUCGCACUCCCGGGGCGUCUCGUGCUCAUCGCGAGCUGAGGCGCACCCAGAGCGUACACGCUGGGACCCGAAAGAUGGUGAACUAUGCCUGGUCAGGACGAAGUCAGGGGAAACCCUGAUGGAGGUCCGUAGCGAUUCUGACGUGCAAAUCGAUCGUCGGAACUGGGUAUAGGGGCGAAAGACUAAUCGAACCAUCUAGUAGCUGGUUCCCUCCGAAGUUUCCCUCAGGAUAGCUGGCGCUCGUAGAGCGAGUUUCAUCCGGUAAAGCGAAUGAUUAGAGGCAUUGGGGUCGAAACGGCCUCAACCUAUUCUCAAACUUUAAAUGGGUGAGAUCUCCGGCUUGCUCGAACUUGAAGCCGCGAGUAUCAAUUAACGUAGAAUCAGAGUGCCAAGUGGGCCAUUUUUGGUAAGCAGAACUGGCGCUGUGGGAUGAACCAAACGCCGGGUUAAAGCGCCCAAAUCGACGCUUAUGGGAUACCAUGAAAGGCGUUGGUAACUUAAGACAGCAGGACGGUGGCCAUGGAAGUC